UACGUAGGUCCCGAGCGUUGUCCGGAUUUAUUGGGCGUAAAGCGAGCGCAGGUGGUUUAUUAAGUCUGGUGUGAAAGGCAGUGGCUCAACCAUUGUAUGCAUUGGAAACUGGUAGACUUGAGUGCAGGAGAGGAGAGUGGAAUUCCAUGUGUAGCGGUGAAAUGCGUAGGUAUAUGGAGGAACACCGGUGGCGAAAGCGGCUCUCUGGCCUGUAACUGACACUGAGGCUCGAAAGCGUGGGGAGCAAACAGG
Molecule: ribosomal RNA, 252 nt
Filed under: uncultured bacterium
Lineage: Bacteria
Description: partial 16S ribosomal RNA
Rfam family: Bacterial small subunit ribosomal RNA
Source: RNAcentral